This 432-nucleotide ribosomal RNA is filed under the name uncultured bacterium. Its description in RNAcentral is "partial 16S ribosomal RNA". It matches the Rfam family "Bacterial small subunit ribosomal RNA", at positions 29 to 507 of the family's 1533-position model. The record is from RNAcentral.
AACGAACGCUGGCGGCAGGCCUAACACAUGCAAGUCGAGCGAGCAUUUCGGUGCUAGCGGCGGACGGGUGAGUAACGCGUGGGAACGUGCCCUUUUCUGCGGAAUAGUCCUGGGAAACUGGGGGUAAUACCGCAUACGCCCUUUUGGGGAAAGAUUUAUCGGAGAAGGAUCGGCCCGCGUUGGAUUAGGUAGUUGGUGGGGUAAUGGCCCACCAAGCCGACGAUCCAAAGCUGGUUUGAGAGGAUGAUCAGCCACACUGGGACUGAGACACGGCCCAGACUCCUACGGGAGGCAGCAGUGGGGAAUCUUAGACAAUGGGGGCAACCCUGAUCUAGCCAUGCCGCGUGAGUGAUAAGGCCUUAGGGUUGUAAAGCUCUUUCAGCUGGGAAGAUAAUGACGGUACCAGCAGAAGAAGCCCCGGCUAACUCCGUG